CCUACGGGAGGCAGCAGUGAGGAAUAUUGGUCAAUGGGCGAGAGCCUGAACCAGCCAAGUCGCGUGAAGGAUGAAGGAUCUAUGGUUUGUAAACUUCUUUUAUAUGGGAAUAAAGUGAGGAACGUGUUCCUUUUUGUAUGUACCUUAUGAAUAAGCAUCGGCUAACUCCGUGCCAGCAGCCGCGGUAAUACGGAGGAUGCGAGCGUUAUCCGGAUUUAUUGGGUUUAAAGGGUGCGUAGGUGGUUAAUUAAGUCAGCGGUGAAAGUUUGUGGCUCAACCAUAAAAUUGCCGUUGAAACUGGUUGUCUUGAGUAUAGUUGAGGUAGGCGGAAUGCGUGGUGUAGCGGUGAAAUGCAUAGAUAUCACGCAGAACUCCGAUUGCGAAGGCAGCUUACUAAACUAUAACUGACACUGAAGCACGAAAGCGUGGGGAUCAAACAGGAUUAGAUACCCUAGUAGUC
This 460-nucleotide ribosomal RNA is filed under the name uncultured bacterium. Its description in RNAcentral is "partial 16S ribosomal RNA". It matches the Rfam family "Bacterial small subunit ribosomal RNA", at positions 338 to 795 of the family's 1533-position model. The record is from RNAcentral.